GAAAAUGUCCGACAUCUUUCAUUUAUUUAAUCUGCAAAACUCAUUUAAAAAAUACUUCUUCCUAAUGGCCAUGGUUAUGUGACCCCUAUAAGAUAGCCUUAUGCAGUCUCUCAUCAGAACAAAGUAGGCCAUUCUGCAGGCAUCCAGCAGUCUUUCUGGCCACAGCUGGAAGUUCCCUCCUUGCAAAUGGACUUUGCCUCAUUCCUGUUAAUCUUUUCCAAAGCUAAAAUUCAAAGACUAUUCUUCAUGUCUUCCAAUGCCUCCCUUCCUUGUUCUUUUUACAAAUGUCUUUCCAUCUUUUUCUAUUUGCAAUGAUAAGACUUAAAAAGAGCCAUUGGGCUAAAAAUUCCUGACAUAAAAGGAAAUAGAGUGGAAGGACUAAAGUUUCCAAAGAGGGUACUUCAUAAAUCAGAGUAAUCACCCUAAUGACCAACUUGAAAAAGACAUAAUAGAUUUCAAGUAUUUCUGUUUUCUCCUUUAGGUGAAACAGGGAAAUUCCAACUGAUUGCCUGGAAAAUUGCUUCAGUCUUCUAGCUCCCUUGAAGGCAACUUUGAAUUGAGCAGAUACACAAAAACAUUCUGUCUUCUGAAAUUUUAAUCUGUGCAAGAUUAUUUUACAACUACACAUAUUGAUAAUAAAGCAAUUUCUCCAAGUGGGACACAUCAGAUAAAAUGGUGUUUGUAUAUUUCUCUCACAUUACUUUUUUCUAUUUAUUGAAAGCCCAUUCUGUCACUAGAAUGAAUCUCUAUCACCCCUGUUAUUCCUUUUCUGCCAAUAUCCUUUAAAAAAAUUCACUGAUGACAUUCAGGGUGAAAUUCAUUUUAGGCUGAAUUUGAAAAAUAAAUAAAGGUGUCCAGGUGCAAAUGCAAGCCUUAAAUUGUACAUUUUUGGCAGGCAUACGUAAUUCAUAUAUAACCUAGCAUCUGUAAAUAUAAAAGUAG
This 942-nucleotide long non-coding RNA is filed under the name Homo sapiens (human). RNAcentral's name for it is "HSALNT0288417". The record is from RNAcentral. Lineage: Eukaryota; Metazoa; Chordata; Mammalia; Primates; Hominidae.